This 501-nucleotide ribosomal RNA is filed under the name uncultured bacterium. RNAcentral's name for it is "partial 16S ribosomal RNA". It matches the Rfam family "Bacterial small subunit ribosomal RNA", at positions 30 to 523 of the family's 1533-position model. The record is from RNAcentral.
AUUGAACGCUGGCGGCAUGCCUAACACAUGCAAGUCGAACGGUAGCAGCACCUUCGGGUGGCUGACGAGUGGCGGACGGGUGAGUAAUGCAUAGGAAUCUGCCUAUUGGUUGGGGAUAACUUAGGGAAACUUAAGCUAAUACCGGAUAAGAACGUAAGUUGAAAGCUUGGGAUCGCAAGACCAGGCGCCGAUAGAUGAGCCUAUGUUGGAUUAGCUAGUUGGUAGGGUAGAGGCCUUCCAAGGCGACGAUCCAUAGCUGGUUUGAGAGAACGACCAGCCACACUGGGGCUGAGACACGGCCCAGACUCCUACGGGAGGCAGCAGUGGGGAAUAUUGGACAAUGGGGGGAAACCCUGAUCCAGCAAUGCCGCGUGUGUGAAGAAGGCCUGCGGGUUGUAAAGCACUUUCAGUGAAGAAGAAGGCUGAUGUAUGAAUAGUGCAUUAGAUUGACGUUAUUCACAGAAGAAGCACCGGCUAACUCUGUGCCAGCAGCCGCAGUAA